Molecule: long non-coding RNA, 959 nt
Filed under: Citrus x clementina
Lineage: Eukaryota; Viridiplantae; Streptophyta; Magnoliopsida; Sapindales; Rutaceae
Description: Citrus clementina (C. clementina) long non-coding RNA (CCLE_LNC002086)
Source: RNAcentral
CACUAAAGUCACUGACAGCUAGAAUGUGCACCAAAUCUUGGUGAAACUAUAAAUGCAUUUAGUUUUAAAAUUGUGUGUAUCUGUAAUCAUAUAUCAAUCAUGUAACACAUCAUAAGGGCGCCAAGUCACCCACAGACUUUGACAAUGACAUAGCAGCUUCGGGUUUGGCCUUUGCUAGCUAUGAGAACGAUUAUGUCUCUUGCAGCCUUGCUUCAGCAAGAUGUCAAUGUCUUUAUCAGAAAUCAGAACCGUUGGUUUCUUCCUGACUUCCUGGAAUUUGCAUGAGAGUUCUGUUUAUUUAUUAUGCAAUAUAAACCAAUUAUCGUACGAAUUUGGCUAUUCAUGCAUGUGAGCAGAAUAUGAUUAACAAAAUUUUCAUUUGAUUAAAAUUUUGUUACUGAGAUUUAAUUUAGAUCGUACCUCAAACGCGUAUGUAUUCCUCUUCGAUUUUAGGUGUAUCUGUAGCAGAAACAGCAUCAGAAAAUUAAUUAGAUGAAUUAAACCCUAUUAAACUUUAUAAAGAAACUUGAUAACAUUCAUCGCAGCGUUAGCAAAAUAACAUCAUUAAUUAGAAAUAUAAGAGUUGAUUGUGAUCAAAAUAAACUAAAGAGUUUACAAAAAUAUGUACCAAUCAUAGCAACAAGGAAAUUAAUCUGCGAUCAGGAAUUAAAUGGAUCUAAAAUCAAGAAGGAAGAAACGAAAAGUACUAUAAGAGUCGAGGCAUUCUAUGGUCAUUGAGAGGUGAAUUUUUCGCCCCCGUUGAUGAUUGGAUGAUAUAUCUUUGACGCAAAAUGGCUCGUGCAGAUGUUCCCCAAGAUUUAAUUAACUGCAACUUAACCCUCCUGUAUGUGCUAGCGUACUGGCAAUUAAAGAUUUUAAUUCAUCAAUGGAUGCCCUCAAAAUGAAGACAAAUAGCUGGAUGGAAGAACAAACAGCAUAAUUACUUGGUUGGUUCGUUC